UGACUUUGACAUCAGAGUACAUUCUGUAGGUAACUUUUCAAUGCAACCGAACGUACUGAAGGAUGAACAACGACCAAUGCAAGGAGUUAGACGAACAAAAUUUAAAAGACUAUUAACCUUGAUCCCAUAAACUGAAACAAUAAUUAUUUUUAGUAAUAAAAUAUUGUAUUCAAAUAAUAAUAAUAAUUAUAACCAAGAUUUUAAAUCAAAUAAUUUAGUUAUAUAUAAUAGGUAUGUAAAAUAAUAAAU
RNAcentral lists this long non-coding RNA (249 nucleotides) under Vigna radiata. RNAcentral's name for it is "long non-coding RNA (VRAD_LNC018407)". Lineage: Eukaryota; Viridiplantae; Streptophyta; Magnoliopsida; Fabales; Fabaceae. The record is from RNAcentral.